AUGACCAUGGAAUUCGAAAGCACUGAGCUAAGGACUAUAAGGGGAAACAAAUUACUUUCUGCACGAACAUGUCCUGUCUGGAGCUUCCAAAGAGGAGGAGCAGCCCGAACGCAAUCAAUUUCCACAGUCCACCGUGGAGGUGAGGAUGGCAACGCCACACAUUUCUGCAACGGAUGCAACAUCCUGUCAUUGGCCAAUUAUUUGCACAAACACUCAAAGUGUGUCUGCAACUCUGGGGGAGGCAGAGACCUCCUGAAGUGUCUCCGCUCUGCAGACGCUCAGGUGCUCGGGUCCCCUGCUCCAGACCAGCAGCCGUUUCAGCUGGCCACCGGGAGGAUGUUGCAGGGCCAACCACGCAGAGUGGAGGCCAGUGGCAUGUGCCUAUUCGGCAGAAAAAAACGACAGCUCUACAGAGCGAGCGCGCAGAUGACACCCCCUGGUGUUGGGGAGGAUGGAGUAACAGGCACACGCUUAAACCGCUGCCGGGGCCUCUGCGAGAGCAAGUCCCUGGGACACUCCGGAAAUACAGUGACAGUGUGGUUAUGUGUCACUACUUUAAGUGGCUGUGGAGAGUGUCAUUGCAUGGAUGCACCAUAAUUUAUUUAACUGUUUCCAGUUGUUUGCUAUUAUAAACUGUGUGAUCAACGUCCGUAUGCGUAUUUCUCUGUGAAGUUGACCCAUUAGGUCCUUGGCAAAAAUCCUCACGAAUGGAAAUCUACGGCGCUGGUACAUGGUGUCAGGUGACCGUCUAGAAAGUUGCAUAUAAGAUUGCAAGUCAAUGGCCUAUGUUUUCUUGCAGUUUUUAACUAGAAUGUGCAUUUUUGCAUUCAGAUAUUUGCUCCAUCUGAAACUUAUUUUGGUGGUAAAAGCCAUUUUUUUCCAAAAGACUAAGUCAGUUUUCCCUACUCACUUUUACCCUCUACCAAGUUCUCAUUCAUACUUGAGUCUGUUUCUGCAUUUUGUGCUACUGAGCUUUGUGCUAAUUAUUGUUUAAUGCUUCAGUUUUUGUACUUGUGUGAUAUGUUUUAAUAUCUAGUAGGACAAUUAUUUGCUCAUUAUUCUGCCUGGCUAUUUGUUCAUGCUUAUUAUUUCAGAAGAACUUUGAUAUCAGUUUUUUUUUUCUGUAUUAAAGGGAAAAAACUCUGAAAAUUUUUUUUUUGCUUGGGACUUGCAUUGAUUUCAGGAGAGUUGUUACAUUUUUACAAUACAAAAUUUAUUUUUCCAUUUAUUCAAAAAUA
This 1238-nucleotide long non-coding RNA is filed under the name Felis catus (domestic cat). RNAcentral describes it as "lncRNA (ENSFCAG00000048245.1)". Lineage: Eukaryota; Metazoa; Chordata; Mammalia; Carnivora; Felidae. The record is from RNAcentral.